Molecule: ribosomal RNA, 641 nt
Filed under: uncultured bacterium
Lineage: Bacteria
Description: bacterial SSU rRNA
Rfam family: Bacterial small subunit ribosomal RNA
Source: RNAcentral
CGCGUUAAGUAUCCCACCUGGGGACUACGGCCGCAAGGCUAAAACUCAAAGGAAUUGACGGGGGCCCGCACAAGCAGCGAGGUAUGUGGUUUAAUUCGACGCUACACGAAGAACCUUACCUGGGCUUGACAUGCUUGAGAAAGGACCAAGAAACUGGUCCCCCCAUGACCGCAAGGUCAUGGCUCAUCCACAGGUGCUGCAUGGUUGUCGUCAGCUCGUGUCGUGAGAUGUAAGGUUAAGUCCUUGAACGAGCGCAACCCCUUUCGUCAGUUGCAAACCAGCAAUGGCGCACCCUGACGAUACUGCCAGCUAAAAGUUGGAGGAAGGAGGGGAUGACGUCAAAUCCUCAUGGCCUUUAUGUCCAGGGCUACACACAUGCGACAAUGGUCGGUACAACGGGUUGCAACACCGCGAGGUGAAGCCAAUCCCUAAAAACCGGCCUCAGUUCAGAUUGCAGACUGCAAUUCGUCUACAUGAAGAUGGAGUUGCUAGUAACCGCGGGUCAGCGAUACCGCGGUGAAUAUGUUCCCGGGCCUUGUACACACCGCCCGUCAAACCACCCGAGUCUGUUGCACCCGAAGUUGCCCGCUGGGUGACGAAGGUGUGACCGGUGAGGAGGGUUAAGUCGUAACAAGGUAACC